AAUGACCUCAGGCAUCACCAUGGUCAUUGUGGCCCCCUGAUUUUCAUCUACCUCUGGAGUACGAAGAGAGAAGAAAAUAUGAAUGAAAAAAGAAAGACCUGUGUUGCUGCUUCCUGUAAGACAUGACAAGGGAGACCACUGCAAAAGGAAAUACUACCUUUUCUUAAAUAGAAGAUGAAUGUCAGUGCUACACCAAGGAAUAACAAGAUGGCUCCCAGAAUUACCAAAAACCCUGGAAAGAAAGAAGCAGCUUGGAUGUCCUAGGAUUUGGAUUCCUGAAACAUGGCCUGAAUUGAGUAUUCCUCUCAGUUCCGUUUCCUUGGAGUACAGCUGUCAUUAGUGAGGGACAAAAAGGCAGAAUACAAAGAUCAUGUAAAUACACAUGGUCUUUAACCUCUAAACCUCACAUCAGGGCAAUUGGUCUAAGAGAAGAAGACUGACAUCUCCUUCUUCAGGUAAGAAUUAUGACCAUCGGUGAAUUCCCGUUUCCGAAUGGAGACAUUCAAAGGGCAAUGAAAUGUAAACUGGGGAAGAAGUGAUGGCUCAUUCAGGUUGGGGAAGUGGGUUUGUCCCUGGGGGAAGCCCAGUAUAAUACUCUGGAACUGAUACUACUUCUCAUCUUCCAAGGGUAGGAUGGGUAGGAGGAAGAGAUAGAGAAAAAGUUAAGAGGCCGGGUGCAGUGGCUCACAUCUGCAAUGCCAGCACUUUGGGAGGCCAAGGCAGGCGGAUCACAAGGUCAGGAGCUUGAGACC
This is a long non-coding RNA of Cebus imitator (Panamanian white-faced capuchin), 752 nucleotides long. RefSeq lists it as uncharacterized. NCBI's taxonomy places the organism in Eukaryota, Metazoa, Chordata, Mammalia, Primates, Cebidae. The transcript has 4 exons. The record is from RefSeq and is a predicted model, not a curated record.